AGUCACAUUUUUUCCUUCUAAUUGUGGUUUUGAAACUAUCUCUAAUGACAUAAGGAGCCAAAUGGUCAGUGCAAUGGCACAUUUGUUUUGUAAUGUAGUUUAAUACAUCUUUCUUUCCUGAACUCCCGAGUUUUUGACAAUGACAAUUUUCUCCCUUUUAUGGAACAGGUCAAAUUUUUUGUCUCAUUAGGAGGACCUCAUGCUGGUACAGCUUCUGUUCCUCUUUGUGGUUCUGGCAGAGGUCUACAUUGCUGAUGUCCAAGUAUACAUCUCUCGAACUUGAUUCAGUUAUACAACUUUACUAGUGUUGGAAAACUUUCUUACAUGUGAACUUCUGAAGAGAAGAUUGGUUGUAUGCUUCUCUUCACUUCUUGUCAAUUUUAAAUCUUAUUAUGUUCUCUAAUAAGACUUCGUGCACUGGAUUUUAAUUUGUGGGUUGCAGGCUCACUUGGCCCCUAGUGGUUACCUUAAACUACCAAAUGUGUGUACAUUAUCUCUUGAUGAAACCUGGCCUUAAUGUUGAAUCAAGUCUUUAAACUUGUUUAAAUGGGUUAGGUGUUCGAGAUUUUGGCCUUUUCCAUAUAUUUUUUUAAUCAUAAAGAAAAUAAUUUGGAAGCAUGAGAUUUUAUUUUAGUUCCUCUAUCUUUUUCCAAUUACUGACGCUUUGAGCUCUAGUUUUGGUUCUUUCACUCUAGGCAUCUUUCCUCUUAUUUUCCAAAAUGUUGUGUGAGUUUUUCCUACUUUGGAGCUUCAUUUGUUCCAUGUUUUAUAGAAAGUCUUAUUUUUCUCUUUACUAUUGGAUGGAAUGGGAGGUUCUUGCCAAACAACUUGCAAGUUUAGGUGCUAAGCUUAUCAUUUCUGCUUGAAAUGAAGCUGAAUUAGAGAGUCAAGAAAUAGUUUUCUGGGAAGACACCUACACCAGGUCAGGCCGUAUACUCUGCUUCUAAAUUUGCUCUAAUUGGGUACUUUCACACUCUGCGUUCUGACGU
Molecule: non-coding RNA, 989 nt
Organism: Camellia sinensis
Lineage: Eukaryota; Viridiplantae; Streptophyta; Magnoliopsida; Ericales; Theaceae
Source: RefSeq, a predicted model, not a curated record